This 211-nucleotide unclassified non-coding RNA is filed under the name plant metagenome. RNAcentral describes it as "partial contains small subunit ribosomal RNA, internal transcribed spacer 1, and 5.8S ribosomal RNA". The record is from RNAcentral.
UUUCCGUAGGUGAACCUGCGAAAGGAUCAUUCAUAAUAAAGUGUUUUAUGGCACUUUUUAAAAAUCCAUAUCCACCUUGUGUGCAAUGUUAGAUCUCGUCAAUCUUGGCGAGAUUUUUAUACAUCAACUCAUUCUUUAACUAAUUUGUCUGAAAAAUAUUAUGAAUACUUAAUUCAAAAUACAACUUUCAACAACGGAUCUCUUGGCUCUC